GAUGAACGCUGGCGGCAUGCCUAAUACAUGCAAGUCGUGCGGAAACACUUCGGGUGUCGAGCGGCGGACGGGUGAGUAACACGUUAGUAUCUACCCCAAACUGAGGGAUAAGCCCGAGAAAUCGGGUCUAAUACCGCAUAUGGUCUUUGGAUUAAAGCCUUCGGGCGGUUUGGGAGGAGCUUGCGUCUGAUUAGCUAGUUGGUAAGGUAAUGGCUUACCAAGGCUACGAUCAGUAGCUGGUCUGAGAGGAUGAUCAGCCACACUGGAACUGAGACACGGUCCAGACUCCUACGGGAGGCAGCAGUAGGGAAUUUUCCACAAUGGGCGAAAGCCUGAUGGAGCAAUGCCGCGUGCAGGAUGAAUGCCUUCGGGUUGUAAACUGCUUUUAUGAGGGAAGAUUGUGACGGUACCUCAUGAAUAAGCCUCGGCUAACUCCGUGCCAGCCGCCGCAGUAA
RNAcentral lists this ribosomal RNA (455 nucleotides) under uncultured bacterium. RNAcentral's name for it is "partial 16S ribosomal RNA". It matches the Rfam family "Bacterial small subunit ribosomal RNA", at positions 28 to 523 of the family's 1533-position model. The record is from RNAcentral.